Molecule: non-coding RNA, 798 nt
Organism: Poecilia reticulata (guppy)
Lineage: Eukaryota; Metazoa; Chordata; Actinopteri; Cyprinodontiformes; Poeciliidae
Source: RefSeq, a predicted model, not a curated record
GCGGGCCUUGUCGCUGUCAAUCACAAUCUCUUGUGGCGCUGCUCCUCCUCCCACCCAAACACCCGGUUCUCACCUCUUUGCUCUUGGCUACGCUGCAAUUAACAUAACCAGUUGUGAAAGCUAAAGCUAGUUAGCAUAGCCACCGAUGACGCGGAUGAACGGUUUUCCUGUAACUUGAUUCAGUGGACUCCUUGAAGGUGCAGUGCUUGAGUUUUCCAGAAGAUAGCAGCAGUCAGCUGUGUGCAGUGAUCUCACCUCCAUCAAGCGCCACUGCGGCAGCCCUCCCCUCUCUGAUGCUUCUGAAUAGAGGCUGAGAAUAGACGCAAGGCUGUUUCCAGUCAGAGCAGGAAUGCCUAUAUAUGGAGCUCCACGCCACGCUGAGCGAGCCGCAGAACUGCUGUGUUGUUAAUCCGAUGACUCAGCCACCUCUGUUUCCUCUUCCGCCUUCACCGAUCCAGACUGGUAAUCACCCAAAGUGGUUAAAACAGAGAUGAAGAAGAAGAAGAAAAAGGAGGAUAAGAAGAAAAAGGAGGAGGAGAAGACAAAGAGUUUGUCUUGAUGGAUCAGGAAAACAUUCAGUCCCAUCUACUACUGAACCGAGCUCUUCAGAUGUCCCUGUAGCGUCCCCGUUUUCUGCGUUUCCAUUCUCACGGUUGUCAUAAGAGCCCAGAAACAUGAGAAAAUGCUUGUGGUGGCAGAAGAAGAGCGACAGGUUGUAGGGACAAGUGUGCUGUCUCCCUGACAGCAAAUGGACCCAAAUGGAUCCAAUUAGACGGCAGUCUUUGUGCCAGAACGUCC